This 30-nucleotide small RNA is filed under the name Bombyx mori (domestic silkworm). RNAcentral describes it as "ovarian small RNA-26473". Lineage: Eukaryota; Metazoa; Arthropoda; Insecta; Lepidoptera; Bombycidae. The record is from RNAcentral.
UCCAACAACUUUAAGGCGUCUUCAAACUGC